This is a long non-coding RNA of Aegilops tauschii subsp. strangulata, 879 nucleotides long. RefSeq lists it as uncharacterized. The record is from RefSeq and is a predicted model, not a curated record. Lineage: Eukaryota; Viridiplantae; Streptophyta; Magnoliopsida; Poales; Poaceae.
AAGAAAAAGAAAAAAGAGCCCACCCAACCCCUACCUCGCUCUCUCCCCACGAACCUCUCUGUCUCUCGCGACUCCUCUCUCCCCCACGAACCCCUCUCCCUCGCCACCGCCACCACCCACGCCGGCCGGUUCUGGCGAGCUCCGGCGGCGCGCAGCACGCCCCCGAGUUCCCCUAGGUCCGCUCCACCUUCCCCUCCGUCCAGAAUCGGCGCUCCCGUCCUCCACCGACCCCGUGGCUAGCUAGGGUUUCGACCGCCACCCCUAACAUUGUCGGGAUCAGCCAGAUCCGGCGACGGCGAGGCCAGAGCUCGACGGAUCCGUUACGGGCGUGGCGCAGGUCACCUUGGUGCGGUCUGGACGGCGGCGACGGCAGGAGGGCGCGUCCUUCCUACUCGAGGAGGCGGAGGACGAGGGGCGCACCUAGCUGGCCGCCCUGUCCUGCUCGAGGAGGCGGGGGCUGCCGAGCUCAAGCACGGCCACGACGACCCACCUCGGCAGAGAUGCAGGGAGGGAGGGACGUCCAUGGAUUGGACUGGAAGGAUUGGAUGCAAACCAAUGCACAUGAGGAGGAGAGAUGGAAGCCAGGCCAUGACCUAAAGAUGUCCUUGGAGAAGAUGGCCAUUGGAGUGUAGGGGAGAAACAACCUUGUCCUGCUCGAGGAGGAGGAGGAGGACCACCCGAGCUCGACGACGACACGGCAACAGCCUUGUCUCCCCCACCACCGCCCCUCGGCCUCCUAUAAUGUUGUUGUGGAUUCUUAGAAUGGAAAUGUUAUGUACAUAAAAAAUAUACUAUGGUCUGUGUUUACAAAUCCAUGGCUGUUGAAUCAUGUCUGUAUAAGCAUUUGUAAAUAGCUAGCCUUGUUGGCUAAUCUUUUUA